This 328-nucleotide ribosomal RNA is filed under the name uncultured eukaryote. RNAcentral describes it as "partial 18S ribosomal RNA". It matches the Rfam family "Eukaryotic small subunit ribosomal RNA", at positions 1470 to 1796 of the family's 1831-position model. The record is from RNAcentral.
CCCUUAGAUGUUCUGGGCCGCACGCGCGCUACACUGAUGAAUGCAACGAGCUCUACCCUUGACCGAAAGGCCCGGGUAAACUUGUGAAACUUCAUCGUGAUGGGGAUAGAUUAUUGCAAUUAUUAAUCUUCAACGAGGAAUUCCUAGUAAGCGCAAGUCAUCAGCUUGCGUUGAUUACGUCCCUGCCCUUUGUACACACCGCCCGUCGCUCCUACCGAUUGAAUGGUCCGGUGAAGCGUUCGGACCGUGGCCUUUGGACGGUUCGCCGUCUGUUGGCUGCGGGAAGUUCGUUAAACCUUAUCAUUUAGAGGAAGGAGAAGUCGUAACA